CACCGGCGGCUCGAGUGGUGGCCACUUUUAUUGGGUCUAAAGCGUCCGUAGCCGGCUUGGCAAGUCCCCUGGGAAAUCUGGCGGCUUAACCGUCAGGCGUCCAGAGGAUACUGCCAGGCUUGGGACCGGGAGAGGUGAGAGGUACCUCAGGGGUAGGGGUGAAAUCUUGUGAUCCCUGAGGGACCACCAGUGGCGGAGGCGUCUCACUAGAACGGGUCCGACGGUCAGGGACGAAAGCUGGGGGCACGAACCGG
Molecule: ribosomal RNA, 254 nt
Filed under: uncultured microorganism
Description: partial 16S ribosomal RNA
Rfam family: Archaeal small subunit ribosomal RNA
Source: RNAcentral